GUAUUUUGAAUUAAGUAUUCAUAAUAUUUUUCAGACAAAUUAGUUAAAGAAUAAGUUGAUGUAUUAAAAAUCUUGCCUGAAAAGUUUUACCUUCUCUGACAAGACCCAAACAUUGCACACAAGGUGGAUAUGGAUUUUUAAAAAGUGCCAUAAAACACUUUAUUAUGAAUGAUCCUUCCGCAGGUUCACCUACGGAAA
RNAcentral lists this unclassified non-coding RNA (198 nucleotides) under uncultured fungus. RNAcentral's name for it is "sequence contains ITS1". The record is from RNAcentral. Lineage: Eukaryota; Fungi.